Molecule: ribosomal RNA, 84 nt
Filed under: Neosynechococcus sphagnicola sy1
Lineage: Bacteria; Bacillati; Cyanobacteriota; Cyanophyceae; Neosynechococcales; Neosynechococcaceae
Source: RNAcentral
CCUGGUGUCUAUGGCACGGUGGACCCACGCUGACCCAUCUCGAACUCAGUUGUGAAACGCUGUUGCGGCAAAGAUAGUUGGAGG